This is a long non-coding RNA of Phalaenopsis equestris, 2211 nucleotides long. RefSeq lists it as uncharacterized. The transcript is spliced from 3 exons. The record is from RefSeq and is a predicted model, not a curated record. NCBI's taxonomy places the organism in Eukaryota, Viridiplantae, Streptophyta, Magnoliopsida, Asparagales, Orchidaceae.
UCGCAGGCAGAUCCGCCGCCGACCUUCUGCUUCGCAAAAAAACCCUAGGCUCGGCGAACUUUCUCGUCUCCGAUACGCGGCGAACGCCACCACCCUCCCGGCCUCCAUCUCUUAUGCCUCGAGAAAACCGCAAGCUUCGAUCUCGCGACCUUCGCCCGAGCCUCGCCGGCGCGCCUGAAGUCCGCCAUCCGACGUACUUCGCUGUCAAACGCCCCUUUCCCGACGCUCCUGGCCGUGUCUUCUUCCCCAGCCGAGGCUCCUACCCGAGAGAGAGAGAGCUCGCAUGGAAUCUCUCUCCCACUUUGGCGGCGCUUCCUCCUUCGGUCCCCGCCACUGACAUUCCGCCGGCCUGUCUAGAAGCUGGUGUCUAGAUCCCGCCGGCCUUAGUCCCUCUCAAGCGAUUAGCGGGAUCAUUUGCGCCUCCUCCAGUGCCGACAGUACCUUGUGCUCCGUUCCAUGCCUUUUUGGCCUGCAGCCUCGCAGCACCUUGCUACCUUCUGCGCUCCUGUCGCUGACGACCUGGCUGACUCUUCCUCGCCGCAGCUUCGAUCAUUUGCGGGGCGAUGACCUCGUUACGACACGAAGGGCGACGUUGGACCCCUCCCUCGAAGGUUGGAUUUUCCAUGAAGAAAUAGGAGACGGGGCUCAUGCGGAAAGACUUUUACUUGUUGGAAAAAUAUUUUCCUUUUUACGGUCUGUACCACAUUUUCAAAUUGCAUUCAAUUGUGCUAUAGGUCAGUUAUAUUGUAAGAAGGUUCUGAGAUUUAGCAGAAUAAGAAUUUAACAUUGCUCGGAAGCUUUUACAGGAAAAUAACAUCAGAAUUUCUUGCUGACAUGCUAAAUGACGGACUAGCUGACCCCAUUGAAGUUGAACUGAAUAUGUCUGACCUGUGAGGCAAGGAGCGAUACAGAGAAGACAAUGGAUGGUCAGUCGGUAAGUCCCAAAGAGCUCUGUGGUCUUUUCUUCGAGCAUGCCCUUUGGGCCAUUGCAUGGACUUCUCCUGAGAAGGUCUAGAAGUAGCUUUACGACAUUGUAGAGAAAAUGGUGGAACUGCCACUGCCUACUAUGGGGCGGACCUUGUCUUUUGUCGGCAAUUCUUUCGGUUUCCUUUUUCUCCAUAGACUUGGAGAAAAAGGAAACCGAAAGAAUUGUCCGAGAAAGAGAAGACCCGCUCCAUAGCCAGACAAUUCUACCAUUUUCUCUGCAACGCUCUAAAGCUACUUCCAGACCUUCUCAAGAGAAGUUCAUGCAAUGACCCAAAGGGCGAUGAAGUUGGUAAAUUCCAAAGAGCUCUGUGGCCUUUUCUUCGAGCAUGCCCUUCGGGCCAUUGCAUGGACUUCUCCUGAGAAGGUCUGGAAGUAGUUUUACGGCGUUGCAGAGAAAAUGGUAGAACUACCUGCUAUGGGGCGGGCCUUGUCUUUCGUCGGCAAUUCUUUCGGUUUCCUUUUUCUCCAUAGACUUGGAGAAAAAGGAAACCGAAAGAAUUGCCGACGAAAGAGAAGGCCCGCUCCAUAGCCAGGCAAUUCCACCAUUUUCUCUGCAACGCUCUAAAGCUACUUCCAGACCUUCUCAGGAGAAGUCCAUGCAAUGGCCCAAAGGGCGAUGAAGGAAUGCCAGAAGAAAAAGCCACCGAGCUCUUUGGGAUAUACCGCCCGACCAUCUAUUGCCUUCUUUUUAUUGCUCCUUGUCUGACAGGCCCAGUCAUACUCAGUUCAACUGUAAUGAGAUCAGCUAGGCAGUCGUCAAAAAACUUGGAAUAAGUGCGGUGAAUGAAUGUCAUCUGCAUAAGGGGAAGAUAUGAAGAUAUCACUUACUAUAUUGGAGGAAGUUAUUUACGUUUUGAAUGAAAUUUGGAUCGUAAACCUUCAAGAAUGUACUGUCUCGCUUCAAGCUAGCUAUGCUUUGUUGCUUGUAUUCUUGUAGGUAGAAUUGUAUUGUAAUGUUAUAGCACAUUGACCACAUCUAUUACUCAAUUUGCCAUCCAAAAGUACUCCCUCUCCUUUCCCUAUAUUUCUUUUCCUCAUCAUCCUUAGCCUCAUCCUUAAUUUUUUUGUUGUUGGCUUGGUGGUUAUUUUGUAAAUAUCAAUGUUUAGGGCGGUGUGCAUGUAAUUACUCCCUAUGGAAAAUUUAAAUUUAUGCCACAAUUCUUUGCAUAUCUCACUCCCAUUGUUUGAUAUUUACAUUUUUACCCCACUGGUGCUAUAAACUUA